CGAAAGGCAAGAGAGNCAAAGGCCUCCUUCAAACCAAGCGCCUUCUAUCUCAACAGAUGAUACAGUCUCAAUCUGACAAAUAAUAAACAUUCUACCCCUAGACCAGGGUUC
Molecule: ribosomal RNA, 111 nt
Filed under: Glyphonycteris sylvestris (Tricolored bat)
Lineage: Eukaryota; Metazoa; Chordata; Mammalia; Chiroptera; Phyllostomidae
Description: partial 16S ribosomal RNA
Source: RNAcentral